Molecule: long non-coding RNA, 617 nt
Filed under: Penaeus japonicus
Lineage: Eukaryota; Metazoa; Arthropoda; Malacostraca; Decapoda; Penaeidae
Description: uncharacterized LOC122245700
Source: RNAcentral
AGAAUAUAGAAAAUGACCUUGUUACUAACACUAAUUCCUGUUGCAGAUGAAGAGGAACUGCAUUUCGAGGUUCCAACAAUAAGUUUGGAAGCUCACCGGGAUCCGAUAACACACAUAGCCGACCAAGCGUUGUGAAGACCGAGGUAUCUCAACAUCGAUCAUUACUACUACAAGCGCCGCUCACCCUCUCCAAGCUCAUUAUAUGGGUUCCGAUCCCAUUAGGAGUCUAUCUGUUACCCGCCAUUUGUUUUCCAGUUUCGUUUUUCUUUUCUUUAUUGUUCUUUUUUCUCUUCAUACUGAUCGUAAUUUGCUCAGAUUUUUUUUUUCAAUACAAUAAUCAUUUUUUUUCUGUUGUUUUUGAAUCAAAGUUGUACUUUUGGUUUUGGUGAAUUGCUAAUUCCAGAUUUUAAAUGCGUUCCCGUUAUUCAUUUUUUAACAGUUUUUUCUCCCUGCUUAAAGCAGUCAUUGUUUGUGAUUUUGUCCGAUUUUAUUAAAAUUCAUAUAAUGUCAUUCAGCCGCUAAAGACUGAAACACACACACACACACACACACACACACACACACACACACACACACACACACACACACACACACACACACACACACACACACACACA